ACCGCGCACUCAUUGGGAGGCAGCCUCAUCGACGGACCGUCGCCUCCCUCCUCAUACGCGUCGCCUCCCGAAGCUUCCCUCAAGUUUAUCCUCCUUGACUUUGUAUGGUCGCGACUCACGGUAUGGUUGCGACUCACUUUGCUCGAUGGAUCUUUCGAAUUUGAGGAAACUAUCGUCUCUCCAGAUUUCGCGCUCUGCAGUUGCAGAGAUUCAGGGCCUCGGUUGUUUGGAGAACCUGCGAGAUUUGGAGCUUGGUUGCCUCGGACGGCUGGCGAUGCUACCUGAUCUAAGCAAGUUAAACAAGCUAAGGUGUAUUCAAGUAUCGAAUUGUGGUAAUCUAGUUCAGAUUCAAGAACUACCGCGGUUUUUGGAUCGACUUGAAAUUAAAUUCUGUCGUUCGUUACAGGAGUUGCCCGAUCUGUUCAGCUUAAUGGUUAAGACAGAUGUUGAAAUAUUUAUGUGCGAUCAGGUUCUUGAACGUGCUGUCAUGAAUCGACGUGGGUUGGUGCUUUCUGGCUUUAAACAGAUAAAGAUCCUACCUAAUCUAAGCAAUUCGAAUGAACUAAGAAUUCUUCGAGUAGAAAACUGUGGUAAUCUGGUUGAGAUUGAAGGCGAACUACCCCAAUCUUUGGAAGAAUUGGAGAUUGAAUCCUGUGAAUCUUUACACAAGUUGCCUGAUUUGUCAAGCUUGAAGGGACUGCAAAAGGUUAGAAUAAGACGUUGCGGGAAAUUAGCGGUGGAGGAAAUUUCUCGGCUUUGCUCGGAGAAGUCACUUACAUUUGUGGGAGAAGACGAUGAAUAAGUGCACGUUGCACUUGGAAGCUUUUUGAUGCGCGACCACAAAUUGUUCCCUCGUGUUCAAACCCUAAACGAAUUGAGGAAAGGUGUGCUUCUUAGUGGGAUUUGCAAAUGUUAUGGGGAAGUGCAUAAAAUGAAGAAACAUGAAUUUCACUUAGGUUGCGGCGUCUAUAGUUGGCGCAGCACAACUUCCAUCCACGACAGGAGAGGAGAGACUAUUUAGCCUCUCCAAGGUUACAUAAAUCAUCUUCUAGUUAAGGCUAACUUUCAAGAGAGGAGAAUUAUCUAACUUUCAUGGAUUUAACCACAAUGAGGGAGCCAUCGCAAUUCCAAGAUUACCAAUGUCGUGGCACUGGCUAAAGCAGCAGCACCAGAAUAUUUUAUCUCAGCGACGAUGCCCUCAAUCAUAGCAAUCUUUGACGGGCACACUGACAAAAAUCAUUCUGUGCAGCAAACAUCGCCUACGGGAGUAAUUGAGAAAAUGCAGCAUUCGCUGUACCAGUAGAGAAGGAGCGCCCUUUGUUGAGACUCGAGAAUUGCACUCACUUACAAAAGAUUGGUAAGAAAAAGAGAGCACCUUCCCCUGGGGCCGCCUUCAGUAAUAGAACUGUGCAUUCGGAAGCAAUAUCGGCAUUGUUUCUGUCAUGAGACCCACUCAAUUCCAGAAAACACUGGCACUGCCACCAAAGUCGGUUAUGUGUCAUAUGCUACUUGCCGCCUCAAAAGAACUUUCAUCAAGUAGUGUUGGCUCUUCCAUGUACGUGGAACCUUUUGUAGAACCUAAUGAUCAUAAAAGAAGAGCUUUGCCUAAGCCAAGCGUCAAUUUGGGAAAAUCUUCCAUAUUCUUCGCAUGUACUACUUUCAGCUGAGAAAGCAACUUGGGAUCCAUAGCCGGCGCGAUGCCAGAGCCAUGCGCAGCUCAACAUCAUUCACAUUUGCACAGGACAAAUCACCAAAUGAAAAUCUGAAGCAAUGGCUGACUGUCUUUGGUUGUAGAAUCUCAGAAAUUUAGUCAAGUUGAACUCUUUGAGCAUCAGGAGGAGUUUCUGUGCAAACAUUGGUAAUGGGGUCCUCAUCCUCAAUCAAGGUUGGGUAAAGAGGGAGAAAUUGCACCUAGGAUAUGGAUUUCAAGUCUGCCAACUUAUGCUCUAACGCUGGAGUUUUGAUUAGGAAAACGAACAUAGCGUCAAACGGAACCUUGAGGCACAGAAAUCAGGCAUCACCAUCCUUGUUGCCCUUAUACAGAACAUCCAGACUCAGCAGAAUCCCACGGAUGAAUAUGUCAGAGCUUUCGGGAAUCUAGUGACUCCUCUGUAAUGGACUCAACGCUUACAUUUUGGUUCAGCAAUGCAGGUUCUUGGAAUAGAUCGAUGUUGUGCUCUGGUUUUCUUUUUCAAUCCUGAACUGCUCUUGGAUUGUGUUUGUAAUUAGUGUGCUGAAUUAUGCUUCGUGUGAGUGUGAACCAUCUAAGUUUUGCCUGUCCAGUGUUUGGUGAUCAUGUGCAAUUUUGGCGUUCGAUGAAAUGAGCUAUGUGCUUGAGACUGCGUGUGCUGGAAUGUCACCUUCAAGAAGCACCUGAAGCAGAAGCUGAAGCACAAUGUCUAUUGCCACGGCCUCCUCUUUCUGCGCACCUCUACCGGCAAGGUGCCCUAUGAUGGAGCAAGCAGCUGUCGGAAUGCAGGAUUUUGAAGAAUGAUGAAGUUAUUUGUUCCGGUGAGUCAUCCAUGUUCAAUGCUUAUUUGGUUGCUGUUGGAGAGCCUGAAGGAGGGUAGAAACCUCUACAUGAUACUUAUAUUCACAGCUUGGUUAUUGUUGGGCAAUUGGAUUUAUAAGUUCCCUCUGCCUUGGGUAUUGCUUGCUUGUCUUCUUAAUGUAUGAAUUCAAAUUCAGUCCUAUAUAUUCCGAUUAUAAUCCCAAACUUUUGAGUGAAAAAACAGAAACUUACCAAAAAAGUCAUACAUCUAUUGUAAUUGUAUCAAUUCAGUCCCAAAACUUGCGCAUGAUUAAUGCAC
Long non-coding RNA from Eucalyptus grandis, 2810 nucleotides. RefSeq lists it as uncharacterized. The transcript has 3 exons. NCBI's taxonomy places the organism in Eukaryota, Viridiplantae, Streptophyta, Magnoliopsida, Myrtales, Myrtaceae. The record is from RefSeq and is a predicted model, not a curated record.